This 1284-nucleotide long non-coding RNA is filed under the name Citrus sinensis (sweet orange). RNAcentral's name for it is "long non-coding RNA (CSIN_LNC002272)". Lineage: Eukaryota; Viridiplantae; Streptophyta; Magnoliopsida; Sapindales; Rutaceae. The record is from RNAcentral.
GUUCAAGGAGUUCUCUAGUUUAUAAUACUCUUCCGAGCAAUUGCAGUUUGUCGUAUUUAAGCUUUUGUUUGGGAAGCGAGAUUGAGAGUUAUUUUAUAUUAAACAUUUGCUCACCAUAUUUCGUGAAAACUUGUGAUCUCCCUCUUAUGUUCGUAGGAAAUUUGUGUCAUUUCCUCCUUCGUGAACCUGUGAAGUAGGUAUUGGGCAGCUGCUAAAUUGAUCAAAAGUUCUCACCUCCAAAAACCAAAACCCUUCAGAGUGGCCUUGCCACCAAGGUCUUGCAACCAGCCAAAAAGGAUUUGAGUUUGAUUAAAACAAGUAUCCAAUGAUUAGUGCUUAUGUAAUUCAACACUUGAAUCUUCGUAUCUAAUUUAUUUUCUUCAAUGAAAUUUCAUACAUGAAUCUGAAACCUCAACUCAUCAGCAAACAGCUAAUGAAUACAAAUAAUCUUCAUACAACACUUGAAAUCUACAUUAAAUUUCUUAAUUGAAAAAGAAAAUAAGACUGCCAAUUUUUUUUUUUAAUUUAUUAUAUGAGUAGAAAUCAAAACCCAACAGCGGACUCUAUAACUCUGUGUUUUCUUCUUCAGAAGAAGGACUGAUCCUUCCAAAUACCUGAAAUAGAAGCCCCCACCACUCAAGAUCUGGAGAACCCAGAAGCUUCAAAAUUUCAAGAAACAAGGCUAAAGCCAGUAUCAAUAAAGCUGAUGCCAUGGAAACCAUUGAAAUUCUGUAAUAACAUCUACCAAUUGUCGCACGCGGGCAAUUGUUUCCAAUCAACAAAGAGCUAGAUGCGCCGGCGAAGGAGAGCAGGACCGAGAACAGGAAGGCGUGAAACAAAAAUGGGCGCCCUGCAAAUAUGAAACCCGGCACAAAUUUUCCAUCGACGUAUUGAUGAGGAACAAGCAAGAUAAGUAAAGCGAUUGCGAGCGAGGAAUACAAAAUGAAAAAUAAAGACAAAGCGAUUGCGAGCGAGGAAUACAAAAUGAAAAAUAAAGACUGAGUUUGGGAUUCUUGGCUUGAGGUAGUUUUGUCAUAAGAAUUAUCAAGGGCUUUUGACCCCAUCUGCCAAUUUCAAUUACGACGACGACGAGACCUGUGCAGACAACAAUAAACGCGUCAAAUAAUUAUGAUCGGAAGAGGUAAUAACCCGAGACUAAUUAACGGAUUGUUCGGCCCAUGUGGGAUUAGUCAGAGCCGAGAUUAGACCCAGCCGGCAAGGCCCAAUGAAAACGGGCAUCAGCCCCGUGCUGACGUGCUGUGACUGCAGUUAUUUAACUAAUUC